CAGAAUUGUCCUAAGUCAAACCUCUUCAAAUUGGACCAAGCUAUAGAAAGAAUGCUAAUAUCCACAAUGUCUAAUAUAUAUAUAUAAUAUGACAAUAUAUUUCAUAAUGAAGCAAAUGAAGCAAAUUUGGUGUCGUAGAUGUUAAUAUAUUUUUAUAUAAACUCGGUUAAACUUAAUGAAGUUUUACUUAGGACAAACACAU
This 202-nucleotide microRNA precursor is filed under the name Triticum aestivum (bread wheat). Its description in RNAcentral is "MIR1435 microRNA precursor family". It matches the Rfam family "MIR1435 microRNA precursor family". RNAcentral also lists the same sequence under 1 other name. Lineage: Eukaryota; Viridiplantae; Streptophyta; Magnoliopsida; Poales; Poaceae. The record is from Rfam by way of RNAcentral.